AAAAACUCAAUUAUUAAGUUUCCGUGUAACGUUUGACUAUUUGUUUUAUAUGAAUUUUUUCUAUAAUUAGUAUUUUUAUUGUUGUUAGAUGAUAAAACAUGGAUAAUAUUUUUUAUGUGACUUUUAUUUUUAAUAUUUUUUAAAAAUAAUACGGACGUUGAAACGCUAGACACGAAAAUCUAAG
This 184-nucleotide microRNA precursor is filed under the name Oryza sativa Indica Group (long-grained rice). RNAcentral describes it as "MIR812 microRNA precursor family". It matches the Rfam family "MIR812 microRNA precursor family". Lineage: Eukaryota; Viridiplantae; Streptophyta; Magnoliopsida; Poales; Poaceae. The record is from Rfam by way of RNAcentral.